CAGGAAACAAGCUUGCUGCUUCUGCUGACGAGUGGCGGACGGGUGAGUAAAGACGGGGAAACUGCCUGAUGGAGGGGGAUAACUACUGGAACCUGUAGCUAAUACCGCAUAACGUCGCAAGACCAAAGAGGGGGACCUUCGGGCCUCUUGCCAUCGGAUGUGCCCAGAUGGGAUUAGCUAGUAGGUGGGGUAACGGCUCACCUAGGCGACGAUCCCUAGCUGGUCUGAGAGGAUGACCAGCCACACUGGAACUGAGACACGGUCCAGACUCCUACGGGAGGCAGCAGUGGGGAAUAUUGCACAAUGGGCGCAAGCCUGAUGCAGCCAUGCCGCGUGUAUGAAGAAGGCCUUCGGGUUGUAAAGUACUUUCAGCGGGGAGGAAGGGAGUAAAGUUAAUACCUUUGCUCAUUGACGUUACCCGCAGAAGAAGCACCGGCUAACUCCGUGCCAGCAGCCGCGGUAAUACGGAGGGUGCAAGCGUUAAUCGGAAUUACUGGGCGUAAAGCGCACGCAGGCGGUUUGUUAAGUCAGAUGUGAAAUCCCCGGGCUCAACCUGGGAACUGCAUCUGAUACUGGCAAGCUUGAGUCUCGUAGAGGGGGGUAGAAUUCCAUGUG
This 615-nucleotide ribosomal RNA is filed under the name Escherichia coli. RNAcentral's name for it is "bacterial SSU rRNA". It matches the Rfam family "Bacterial small subunit ribosomal RNA", at positions 72 to 675 of the family's 1533-position model. Lineage: Bacteria; Pseudomonadati; Pseudomonadota; Gammaproteobacteria; Enterobacterales; Enterobacteriaceae. The record is from RNAcentral.